Molecule: ribosomal RNA, 573 nt
Filed under: Escherichia coli
Lineage: Bacteria; Pseudomonadati; Pseudomonadota; Gammaproteobacteria; Enterobacterales; Enterobacteriaceae
Description: partial 23S ribosomal RNA
Rfam family: Bacterial large subunit ribosomal RNA
Source: RNAcentral
GGUUAAGCGACUAAGCGUACACGGUGGAUGCCCUGGCAGUCAGAGGCGAUGAAGGACGUGCUAAUCUGCGAUAAGCGUCGGUAAGGUGAUAUGAACCGUUAUAACCGGCGAUUUCCGAAUGGGGAAACCCAGUGUGUUUCGACACACUAUCAUUAACUGAAUCCAUAGGUUAAUGAGGCGAACCGGGGGAACUGAAACAUCUAAGUACCCCGAGGAAAAGAAAUCAACCGAGAUUCCCCCAGUAGCGGCGAGCGAACGGGGAGCAGCCCAGAGCCUGAAUCAGUGUGUGUGUUAGUGGAAGCGUCUGGAAAGGCGCGCGAUACAGGGUGACAGCCCCGUACACAAAAAUGCACAUACUGUGAGCUCGAUGAGUAGGGCGGGACACGUGGUAUCCUGUCUGAAUAUGGGGGGACCAUCCUCCAAGGCUAAAUACUCCUGACUGACCGAUAGUGAACCAGUACCGUGAGGGAAAGGCGAAAAGAACCCCGGCGAGGGGAGUGAAAAAGAACCUGAAACCGUGUACGUACAAGCAGUGGGAGCACGCUUAGGCGUGUGACUGCGUACCUUUUGUAU